Molecule: ribosomal RNA, 519 nt
Filed under: uncultured eukaryote
Lineage: Eukaryota
Description: SSU rRNA
Rfam family: Eukaryotic small subunit ribosomal RNA
Source: RNAcentral
AGGGCACCACCAGGAGUGGAGCCUGCGGCUUAAUUUGACUCGACACGGGAAAACUCACCCGGCCCGGACACUGGAAGGAUUGACAGAUUGAGAGCUCUUUCUUGAUUCAGUGGGUGGUGGUGCAUGGCCGUUCUUAGUUGGUGGAGCGAUUUGUCUGGUUAAUUCCGAUAACGAACGAGACUCUAGCCUACUAAAUAGAUCGUCGGCUUACAAACGCUGAUGAGACUUCUUAGAGGGACAGGCGGCGAUUCAGCCGCACGAAACAGAGCAAUAACAGGUCUGUGAUGCCCUUAGAUGUCCGGGGCCGCACGCGCGCUACACUGAAGUGAUCAGCGUGCAUUUUCAGCCUACUCCGCCAAGAGUGGGAAACCCAAUGAACCUUCUUCGUGAUUGGGAUAGGAGAUUGUAAUUAUUCUCCUUGAACGAGGAAUUCCCAGUAAGCGCGAGUCAUAAGCUCGCGUUGAUUACGUCCCUGCCCUUUGUACACACCGCCCGUCGCUACUACCGAUUGAAUGUUUU